GAUAUCUCUUCUACCUGCCAUUUUACUAAAAUAUGUUCCACCACAUAUUUAUCAGUUAACCACUGUUAUUACAUGAGUGACACAUAUUCACAAAUCGGCUGAUCACUUAUUUUCCAUUAUGACGUUGAUAUAUAAUUUGCAGACUCCACAAAUGAAGAAAAGAGCACAAAUGACGUUGGCAAACCUGAAACUUUCCCAUUGGGCAAUAAACAUUACUCCAGUCAAAAACAUUAUGGAAGAGGCAAACCUGAAACUUUCCCAUUGGGCAAUAAACAUUACUCCAGUCAAAGACAUUAUGGAAGAGGCAAACCUGAAACUUUCCCAUUGGGCAAUAAACAUUACUCCAGUCAAAGACAUUAUGGAAGAGGCAAACCUGAAACUUUCCCAUUGGGCAAUAAACAUUACUCCAGUCAAAAACAUUAUGGAAGAGGCAAACCUGAAACUUUCCCAUUGGGCAAUCAGCAUUACUCCAGUCAAAAAAAGUAUGGAAGAGGUGCUUCUCCAUCCGACAAUCAACCAC
Molecule: long non-coding RNA, 520 nt
Filed under: Prunus persica (peach)
Lineage: Eukaryota; Viridiplantae; Streptophyta; Magnoliopsida; Rosales; Rosaceae
Description: long non-coding RNA (PPER_LNC001496)
Source: RNAcentral